This 397-nucleotide ribosomal RNA is filed under the name uncultured bacterium. Its description in RNAcentral is "partial 16S ribosomal RNA". It matches the Rfam family "Bacterial small subunit ribosomal RNA", at positions 523 to 918 of the family's 1533-position model. The record is from RNAcentral.
AUACGUAGGUGACAAGCGUUAUCCGGAUUUACUGGGCGUAAAGGGCGUGUAGGCGGUCUUGCAAGUCAGAAGUGAAAUUCCUGAGCUCAACUCGGGCGCUGCUUCUGAAACUGCAGGCCUUGAGUGCUGGAGGGGAUAGCGGAAUUCCUAGUGGAGCGGUAAAAUGGGCAGAUAUUAGGAAGAACACCGGUGGCGAAGGCGGCUAUCUGGACAGUAACUGACGCGGAGGCGCGAAAGCGUGGGGAGCAAACAGUAUUAGAUACCCUGGUAGUCCACGCUGUAAACGAUGAAUACUAUGUGUAGUGGGUAUCGACUCCCUCUGUGCCGCAGUUAACACAAUAAGUAGUCCGCCUGGGGAGUACGGCCGCAAGGUUGAAACUCAAAUGAAUUGACGGGG